GGAGGAACGAUAAAAAGAUUAAAAGAGGGAAGCGGAAGAGUUGGGAGCUGGCGGCCGAGCCCCGGGAAAAGCUGCCAAGAGAUGAGACCAAUUCACAGACCUUACUGUAUGAGAAGCAAUGCUCCUCAAACCUUCUGCGUUCUGACAUAGACCUUCCCAGACGCAAAACUGUUGGCGGCGACCAGAGCGCUAGAAGCCGAAGGGGAGGAGGAGCGGCCGGCACAAAGGAGGCGGACUCGCGGCGGCGUCGGCCCGGCCGGGGAGCACGGCCCGUGGCCCUACUGCACCGAAGUCCCGCACUGGCGGCUGGGAAUAAAGUUUGCGUUCUCCUGAGGCCGCACCCCCCACCUCCCACCCAGGACCGCACAUCUCCGCGCCCUCCUCCCCCAAACUCCACUCGGGACCCCAAGAGCCACCCCAGCCUUCCAGCCAGCACAACAAAGAGACGCACCGACCAGCGAGGGUAAACAGCGGCGGCAGGGCGAGAGGGCGGGCAGGGCGAGCGCCUCCAGAUUAGCAACUCCGGAGUCCCCCGCUCGCAGGAGCGUAGUUCCUCCUUUUCUGUUUCAACCGGCUUUAUAACAUUUGGGAUUUUCAUCUUCACCCGCACCCCUCACACCCGAGGAUUUGAAACUCACCUUUACUUUCGAACUGAGAGUUGCGGUGGAUGGGAUUUUUGCCUUCCCCAGAUGGUUGAAGGUUAAGAUUUUUGGAAACCCCGCCACCUCCUUAUUUCUAUUAUUAUUUCUGCAAGAAAAGUAUAAAGAGAGUUGGAUUGGAGGUGAGAUGUGUGAUCGGGAAAGCCCUUGACUCCCUCCUUCUCCGUCUUCCGCCUCCUCUCUCUCUGAUUAGUUCCUAUCCAGCAGCAGAUUGAAGCAGGAGAUGAUUCUUCUCAAGGUUUGUUCAGCAGCUUCACUUCUAGGCGAAGGCUUCAUGAACCAAGUGACGUCAACCAACAAGGCUUCUCUCUCUCUCCUCUCUCUAACAAUGAAAGUUGCUGUUAACAAGGGAAAAAAGAGAGAGAAUUGUUUAUACCAUUUCGGUUCCAAUAAUAAAUGACCUAUCAGCUCCUAAAGGAGCCAAGAGAGGGGUUUGCUUCUUCCUUCCAAGAAUACUGUAGCUUUGAGUUUGCACCGUUCCUUGUCCCAGGAAAGUUAAGAAACUUAAAAUGUUGUUUUGCUCUGCUUUUACAGAAGAUAUGACAGAAAACAGGAUUGCAAAUUUAAUUUUUUAAAAAGGAAAACUGGAGAAUAGGGAGCUCUGGGUAAUCAUCUCCACCUAAACUUUUUUGUUCCUAAAUUCAGAAUUCUGUUGAAAUCUACAAACCAACAAAAUUAAUAUCCCGAGAACUUGUGGAUGUUAGGACUCAGAGUUAAAUAAAAAGCAGGAUGCAGGAUGGUCCCAGUAUAAAAUUCUACUGUCCUUCCUUGGGCAAGUUAAACUGGCUGUAAUGUUUAUGCACUGAGUUAAAAUAAAAUUUAAAUAAAAGACGUUAAAACUGUAAAUCGCCUUAAAGUUAUAUGUACAAACUGUAAAAGGUAAUCUCGGUUGUUUUGUUUUGUUUUUGGUUUUGGGUUUUUUCACCCAGUUUCUCACAGGUUAGGAAAAAAAGGAUAGCUAAUUGUAGGAACACUUUUUAAGAAAAUCAAGUUAUAAGUAAGACUGGAAGCCCACUGCUCCAUCUUUAAAACGAUACAUACGGUUAUAUACUAUUUGUCUAGCCCCAUAAUCUCUUCCAACUUUCUAUGUUUUUACUCUUCCACUCCCCCAACACGAAUUCCCAAAUCCUGCAACCAAUCAAGAUAAACUAAAGAACAUCCCAUUCCCUCCCACACUCCAUCCUAUAGCUUCCUAAAAACUAUUUUUAAAAAAGCCUUAACCUUGAUAACAAUUUAUUAUCCAUUAAGAAAUGUAAUUUUUUAAAAAAAGUUCGCUGAGGCAGUUUUUAUGUUCCUCCAGAACACAAUAACGUCUCGAAGUUCAUAUUAUUUUUUUAAAUUGUAUGAUUUAAUUUUCAGGAUGAAGAGUAAGUAAAAAUUAAGCUAUAGGAAAAUAAUUUGAUCAUAUAUGUGUAUUUUAUACAUACAUAUGUGGAUAGAUGUAUCUUAAAAGAUGCUAUUGUUUUAUGUUUCCUCUUCAGCUACUGGCUGUGAUUUUAAUUGUGCUGGAGGAUCUUCAUUAGUAUUAACACAUGGGGAGAUUUCACAAAGCUGCUUCAUUAGGAAAAAAAAAAGCUUGGCAGACUAGGUCUUUUUGCAUGCACUGAGAAUGUCAGCCUUACCUCGGUCAUUUGUAACAUAAUAAGUGCAAGUACAAUGAUUGCGAUGCAGGAGCACUGGGGGAAGGGCAGAAAUACUGCCUGUCUAAUAAGGAUAUCUGAAAAGAAGGCUGCUCAUUACAUAGUAAAAUGUAUGCUAAAAAUUAGUGAAGAUGAUGUCUCAGGAGACUGAUGCUAAAUAAAUUAAUGUGCUGAUAUGUUUUUAA
Molecule: long non-coding RNA, 2484 nt
Organism: Carlito syrichta (Philippine tarsier)
Lineage: Eukaryota; Metazoa; Chordata; Mammalia; Primates; Tarsiidae
Exons: 2
Source: RefSeq, a predicted model, not a curated record